RNAcentral lists this unclassified non-coding RNA (245 nucleotides) under rhizosphere metagenome. RNAcentral's name for it is "partial ribosomal RNA internal transcribed spacer region". The record is from RNAcentral.
GUAGGUGAACCUGCGGAAGGAUCAUUAUCGAGUUACUGUUUGCUAUUUUAGUGAAUAACUCCCAUCCUAUUGUUUACUACAAUUUGUUCAUCUUUGGCGAAGCGUUUUAGUUUUGCUAAGCCGCUGACAGUGAAAGCUGUGAGUGAGUCUUCGCCAAAGUUUUUUAAACUCUUUACUCUAAAAUGGUUGUCUGAGUUCAAAAAUACAAUAAAUUAAAACUUUCAACAACGGAUCUCUUGGUUCUG